UAGGGAAUUUUCGUCAAUGGGGGGAACCCUGAACGAGCAAUGCCGCGUGUGUGAAGAAGGUCUUCGGAUCGUAAAGCACUGUUGUAAGUGAAGAAUGCCAUAUAGAGGAAAUGCUAUGUGGGUGACGGUAGCUUACCAGAAAGCCACGGCUAACUACGUGCCAGCAGCCGCGGUAAUACGUAGGUGGCAAGCGUUAUCCGGAAUCAUUGGGCGUAAAGGGUGCGUAGGUGGCACGAUAAGUCUGAAGUAAAAGGCAAACAGCUCAACUGUUGUAUGCUUUGGAAACUGUCGAGCUAGAGUGCAGAAGAGGCGAUGGAAUUCCAUGUGUAGCGGUAAAAUGCGUAGAUAUAUGGAGGAACACCAGUGGCGAAGGCGGUCGCCUGGUCUGUAACUGACACUGAUGCACGAAAGCGUGGGGAGCAAAUAGGAUUAGAUACC
Molecule: ribosomal RNA, 438 nt
Filed under: uncultured bacterium
Lineage: Bacteria
Description: bacterial SSU rRNA
Rfam family: Bacterial small subunit ribosomal RNA
Source: RNAcentral